Molecule: microRNA precursor, 93 nt
Organism: Patagioenas fasciata monilis
Lineage: Eukaryota; Metazoa; Chordata; Aves; Columbiformes; Columbidae
Rfam family: mir-1388 microRNA precursor family
Source: Rfam
AAGCGAGAGGCACCUCGAGGACUGUCUAACCUGAGAAUGGUGAAACAUAAGGGUCAAUCUCAGGUUCGUCAGCCCAUGAGACGCCUUCUCCAG